UGGGGAAUAUUGCACAAUGGGCGAAAGCCUGAUGCAGCGACGCCGCGUGAGGGAUGACGGCCUUCGGGUUGUAAACCUCUUUCAGCAGGGAAGAAGCGCAAGUGACGGUACCUGCAGAAGAAGCACCGGCUAACUACGUGCCAGCAGCCGCGGUAAUACGUAGGGUGCGAGCGUUGUCCGGAAUUAUUGGGCGUAAAGAGCUCGUAGGCGGCCUGUCGCGUCGGAUGUGAAAGCCCGGGGCUUAACCCCGGGUCUGCAUUCGAUACGGGCAGGCUAGAGUGUGGUAGGGGAGAUCGGAAUUCCUGGUGUAGCGGUGAAAUGCGCAGAUAUCAGGAGGAACACCGGUGGCGAAGGCGGAUCUCUGGGCCAUUACUGACGCUGAGGAGCGAAAGCGUGGGGAGCGAACA
Molecule: ribosomal RNA, 407 nt
Filed under: uncultured Streptomycetaceae bacterium
Lineage: Bacteria; Bacillati; Actinomycetota; Actinomycetes; Kitasatosporales; Streptomycetaceae
Also listed under: 1 other name
Description: partial 16S ribosomal RNA
Rfam family: Bacterial small subunit ribosomal RNA
Source: RNAcentral